This 253-nucleotide ribosomal RNA is filed under the name uncultured bacterium. RNAcentral describes it as "partial 16S ribosomal RNA". It matches the Rfam family "Bacterial small subunit ribosomal RNA", at positions 524 to 776 of the family's 1533-position model. The record is from RNAcentral.
UACGGGGGGAGCAAGCGUUGUUCGGAUUUACUGGGCGUAAAGGGCUCGUAGGCGGCCAACUAAGUCAGACGUGAAAUCCCUCGGCUUAACCGGGGAACUGCAUCUGAUACUGGAUGGCUUGAGUUUGGGAGAGGGACGCGGAAUUCCAGGUGUAGCGGUGAAAUGCGUAGAUAUCUGGAGGAACACCGGUGGCGAAGGCGGCGUCCUGGACCAACACUGACACUGAGGAGCGAAAGCCAGGGGAGCAAACGGG